GCUGGGCACGGUGGUGCGUGUCUGCAAUCCCAGCAGCUCAGGAGGUUGAGGAAGGAGGAUGGCAAGUUCAAGGCUGGCCUUGGCAACUUGGUGAGACCCCAUCUCAU
RNAcentral lists this small RNA (107 nucleotides) under Marmota monax (woodchuck). Lineage: Eukaryota; Metazoa; Chordata; Mammalia; Rodentia; Sciuridae. The record is from RNAcentral.